GAUGAACGCUGGCGGCGUGCCUAAUACAUGCAAGUCGAGCGAACAGAUGAGGAGCUUGCUCCUCUGACGUUAGCGGCGGACGGGUGAGUAACACGUGGAUAACCUACCUAUAAGACUGGGAUAACUUCGGGAAACCGGAGCUAAUACCGGAUAAUAUAUUGAACCGCAUGGUUCAAUAGUGAAAGACGGUUUUGCUGUCACUUAUAGAUGGAUCCGCGCCGCAUUAGCUAGUUGGUAAGGUAACGGCUUACCAAGGCAACGAUGCGUAGCCGACCUGAGGGGGUGAUCGCCCACACGGGAGCUGAGCCACGGUCCAGACUCCUACGGGAGGCAGCAGUAGGGAAUCUUCCGCAAUGGGCGAAAGCCUGACGGAGCAACGCCGCGUGAGUGAUGAAGGUCUUCGGAUCGUAAAACUCUGUUAUUAGGGAAGAACAAAUGUGUAAGUAACUAUGCACGUCUUGACGGUACCUAAUCAGAAAGCCACGGCUAACUACGUG
This 497-nucleotide ribosomal RNA is filed under the name uncultured bacterium. RNAcentral describes it as "partial 16S ribosomal RNA". It matches the Rfam family "Bacterial small subunit ribosomal RNA", at positions 28 to 507 of the family's 1533-position model. The record is from RNAcentral.